RNAcentral lists this ribosomal RNA (497 nucleotides) under uncultured bacterium. RNAcentral's name for it is "partial 16S ribosomal RNA". It matches the Rfam family "Bacterial small subunit ribosomal RNA", at positions 28 to 507 of the family's 1533-position model. The record is from RNAcentral.
GAUGAACGCUGGCGGCGUGCCUAAUACAUGCAAGUCGAGCGGACGGACGAGGAGCUUGCUGCUCUGAUGUUAGCGGCGGACGGGAGAGUAACACGUGGAUAACCUACCUAUAAGACGGGGAUAACUUCGGGAAACCGGAGCUAACACCGGAUAAUCUUCUGAACCGCAUGGGUGAAAAGAGAAAGACGGUCUUGCUGUCACUUAUAGAUGGUUCCGGGCUGCAUUAGCUAGUUGGUAAGGUAACGGCUUAUCACGGCAACUAUGCAUAACCGACCUGAGGGGGGGGUAGGCCACACUAGAGCGUGAACACGGUCCAUGCUCCUGCGAGAGGCACCAGUAGGGAAUCGGCCGCAGUAGUCGAAAACCUUACAGAGCAACCCGACGUCUGAGGUAGCAGUCUCGGGAGCGUAAUACUCUGUUAUUAGGGAAAAACAGAUUUGGACGUAGCUGUGCCCAGCUUGACGGUACCGAAUAAGAAAGCCACGGCUAACUACGUG